CACUGCCCCUGGAGGGAGACAGUCAGAGGUGAGGCUGAUGUUGCAUCAGAGUGCUAAGCCCUGGAUCAAAUGUUGGGGGCACAGCAGGGAGAGGUCUGAUCCCUCCUCCUGAGCAGCUCGGCCCAUCAUUGGCCUUCCCAGACCAGAGGCGGCACAGGAAAUGUUUCGGGGUCAAAUAAGCUGAGAAAGGAAAGCAGAACAGCUGGAAGGACCAGAGGACAGGGGAAUUUCCCCCUCCUACACUCAAGCAGCCAAAAGGCAGCCACUGGAGACGGUAUCUUCAGGCUGAGAAGGGCUCCCAGAGGGUCCUCAGUCAGAGCACGCGCACCAUGCUGCCCUGCCUCACCCUGCUUCUCCUGAUAGGGCCAUCCGCAUGCAACACAACAGGUGACAGUGGAGAGGAACUGGCACUCAGCGCCGAAGCAGGGCCCUGGGUGACUCUGAUCCUAGAGGAGGUUGCUGUCCCCAGCAUUCAGCUCCAGCUGCAGGAGGGGAAGAGGAGCAAGGCAAACCAGUUCUUUGGGCUGAUGGGGAAGCAGGUGGAAGGAAUACCUCCCAUCCAGCCAGAGAGAGCAGGUCCCAGCUUUGGCUCCGGUCCUGCCCUUCACUGGUAUCCACGACAGUGGUUCUCUGUUGCCUCUCUCUUCUCUCCCUCAUCUUUCUCCCUCACCAGGGUAUAAGCUGGGACAAAUGGUCCAGGCCCUCCUGGGCAGGAGGGGAUCAUCCAUGGAAGGCACAGAGGAUGAGGACCCAGGUUCAGAGUGAGAGCCCCCAGAGGAUGCAAGACCUCUUCCCUGGAUCUCACUGCUGACUCUCUCCUCCCGGGUCUUCGGUCCUGCAUGCUGGCAAUCUACACCAGCCCUGCACUGAACUCACUGGGCUUCUUCCAGGACUCUCAGUGACAAGCUGUGGUACACAGAUGCACUGUGGUCACCCUGAUGAGCAGGAGUGGCCCUGCCCUCCCCCACAUGUUGGGCAUCACCAGAGCUAGCUUCACAGCACACAAGCAGGGACUCAAUAAAUAAAUGAAUGACCACUGAA
Molecule: RNA transcript, 1041 nt
Organism: Ictidomys tridecemlineatus (thirteen-lined ground squirrel)
Lineage: Eukaryota; Metazoa; Chordata; Mammalia; Rodentia; Sciuridae
Gene: Tac4
Gene name: tachykinin precursor 4
Source: RefSeq, a predicted model, not a curated record